This 312-nucleotide ribosomal RNA is filed under the name Triticum aestivum (bread wheat). Its description in RNAcentral is "partial small subunit ribosomal RNA". Lineage: Eukaryota; Viridiplantae; Streptophyta; Magnoliopsida; Poales; Poaceae. The record is from RNAcentral.
AUGCCUUGGAUUUUUAAGCAACUCAAUAGUAUGUCGGGCAUCACUUGUGUUAGUAACUUGAAGCAAUUAGGUGAUUUCUUUUUGGCAGUGUUGGGUGAUUCAGAUUGUGACACACAAACUCUGGUUACUAUACUGCAUCAGGAGAAGAGUAGACCAAUAAAGAAAUGUGCUGUUAAGGUGACUGACAGCAAACCAAUAGAUUCGGCUGACUUUGUGAACAUGUUAUUUUACGGAAUGUCACACCUAAUUUCUGCAAGAUAUGGCUUUGCUGGACUGAGUAUUAUUAUCACUUAUUUGCUGGUGUUCAUAUAG